This 150-nucleotide unclassified non-coding RNA is filed under the name uncultured Cephalothecaceae. RNAcentral's name for it is "sequence contains ITS2". The record is from RNAcentral. Lineage: Eukaryota; Fungi; Ascomycota; Sordariomycetes; Sordariales.
CAACCCUCAAGCGCUGCAGCUUGGUGCUGGGGCCCUGCGUUAGCAGGCCCUGAAAGACAUUGGCAGGGCUUCAGUGAACCCAAGCGUAGUAAUUCUCUCGCUUAGGGCUUUACAGAAACUCUCCGCCGUAAACCUCCAUUAAUUUAUACG